GAUGAACGCUGGCGGCGUGCCUAAUACAUGCAAGUCGAGCGAACAGACGAGGAGCUUGCUCCUCUGACGUUAGCGGCGGACGGGAGAGUAACACGUGGAUAACCUACCUAUAUGACUGGGAUAACUUCGGGAAACCGGCGCUAAUACCGGAUAAUAUAUUGAACCGCAUGGGUCAAUAGUGAAAGACGGUUUUGCUGUCACUUAUAGAUGGAUCCGCGCCGCAUUAGCGAGUUGGUAAGGUAACGGCUUACCAAGGCAACGAUGCGUAGCCGACCGGAGAGGGUGAUCGGCCACCCUGGAACUGGGACACGGUCCAGACUCCUACGGGAGGCAGCAGUAGGGAAUCUUCCGCAAUGGGCGAAAGCCUGACGGAGCAACGCCGCGUGAGUGAUGACGGUCUUCGGUUCGUAAAACUCUGUUAUUAGGGAAGAACAAAUGUGUAAGUAACUAUGCACGUCUUGACGGUACCUAAUCAGAAAGCCACGGCUAACUACGUG
RNAcentral lists this ribosomal RNA (497 nucleotides) under uncultured bacterium. RNAcentral's name for it is "partial 16S ribosomal RNA". It matches the Rfam family "Bacterial small subunit ribosomal RNA", at positions 28 to 507 of the family's 1533-position model. The record is from RNAcentral.